This 206-nucleotide long non-coding RNA is filed under the name Mytilus galloprovincialis (Mediterranean mussel). Lineage: Eukaryota; Metazoa; Mollusca; Bivalvia; Mytilida; Mytilidae. The record is from RNAcentral.
GUUGGUUUGAAUUUGUUUUAGAUAAAUUUAUUUGGCCUUUCUUACUUUAUGGUUCGAGCAUCAUUAACGAGUCUUUCGGUGUAAAACGAACUGCACGUCUGGCAGAAUAAAAUAGAAAUCCUGGUAUCUAUGAUUAGUUUAUUUCAUAUAGGAUCAGCAAAACCGAUAUACCAAAUGUCGACAUCAGAGUGAACAUGUUUAAAUUA